RNAcentral lists this long non-coding RNA (1198 nucleotides) under Felis catus (domestic cat). RNAcentral's name for it is "lncRNA (ENSFCAG00000050970.1)". Lineage: Eukaryota; Metazoa; Chordata; Mammalia; Carnivora; Felidae. The record is from RNAcentral.
AUGGCCAUAGAAGAUGCUAACAAAUUGUUCUCAAGGUCAAGAAUGGCCUCAUGCAAUUUGUUAAAUCCCGAGCACUUCCGAGAAUCAAAAUCAAAUCAAAGUGCAGAUAUGGAAGGUCCUGGAGGGAAAAGACAUAAUGAAUGUGAAACGAGAUUCCACAGUGAGGAGAACCAAGGCCUGGGCACUGCAUUGCAGUAGAAGAACUACCCAGUCAACCCACAGAAUUGUAAGAAAUACUUUCUUUUUUGGUGUUUUAAAGUGCUAAGUCUUUGUAAGCUGUAUCUGAUAUUUGGGCUAAUGGUUAGCUUCUAUUUAAAAUUGCUUUCUCUUGACUAUUGGUGGCAUUUUCCUGCCUUUUUAUUUCUCUCUUUUAAGUGACAUAUAAUUUAUUUCACAGUGUUAAUGGUCACAAAGCGGGAGUGGCAGCAGUAGGUGAGAGGGGAGAAUUUUCAUUUUUACUCUAUUGAUUUGCAUAUUGUUGAGCUAUUUUAUCAAGCACUUCUACUUUUGUAAGAUAAAUACAAUUUUAACUACUUUCAGUAAAGUAAAGAACUGUAUACAAAUUGGUAUUCCUUUAUGGAAUAGAGGGGAGGGCUUGGUCUUCUAUUCCUCCAUACUGAUAUGGGCCGUAAAAUACAAUCCACUUUUUUCUCUUAAAGCUGGAUGGGCUCAAAGAUGUAGACACUGUUGUUCUGGCCAUUUUUUUUUUUUUAAACUGAAUUAAUUGCAACCCUUUAAAACUCUUGAUUGUUGCAUGAAAACAAAAUGUGAAUAAUGUGGAUUGUUAUUCUGCAUGCAUUUCUCACACACACAUUUUUUGCUGAAAAUUUUUAUAUUACAUUUCGAAGUGGUACUUUAGGUAUUUAGCUUUAGCUUUCACCGAUCAGAUAUACUUAAAUUAGAUUUAAAAAGCAGAUGUUCUAGCAGCUUCUGUUGGCAAACAUGAUCACAGAGGUUUUUGGUUUAUCUCUAAUAGUAUUUCUGUCACCAGCUUUGAGGGAAUCAAGAACCCGGGGCAGAAGACAAAUCCUUUAGUUGUUGUUAUUAUUUCUGUUGCCAGUGUGGACCUAAUAUUAAUGACAUAUGUCUGGAAAUAACUAUUAACUUCCUUACUUUAUUGCUCUUGGUUUUGUCAAUCAAGAAGACUAGCCUGUAAAACAAUCAAAAUGGUUUAUUUGGUGUCUUAGAGAUUGCAAUC